Non-coding RNA from Phrynosoma platyrhinos (Desert horned lizard), 71 nucleotides. The record is from the annotation of a GenBank genome assembly. NCBI's taxonomy places the organism in Eukaryota, Metazoa, Chordata, Lepidosauria, Squamata, Phrynosomatidae.
GCCAGCAUGGCGUAGUGGGUUGAGUGUUGGACUACAAAUCUAGAGACCAGGGUUCGAUUCCUAUCUGGGCC